Molecule: long non-coding RNA, 3176 nt
Organism: Odontomachus brunneus
Lineage: Eukaryota; Metazoa; Arthropoda; Insecta; Hymenoptera; Formicidae
Exons: 6
Source: RefSeq, a predicted model, not a curated record
CGAGCGAGUCUUUACUCCGAAGCGCUCGUUUAGAACAAACUGCAAGGCUACAUUCUAAAAUUCUACUUGGCGGAUAGAGUAACAUUAAUUACCAAACAUGAUAAAGAAAUCUUAGUUCUUUUUUAUUCUGAUUAGUCAAUUAAAUGCUACUCCAUCCGUCGAGUAAAGUUUUGGAACGCAACCCAGGAAGGCCUUCCCAAGAAAGAAGAACCGGUCUUGUUCGGCUAAUGUUCACAUUGUCCAGAUGAGCCCGUAUCCGCUGUCUGAGGAGUAAAUGCUUCGAUCCAGCAGGACGACAUCCAUUUGCUUUGACGAGGAUCCAGUACUAAGUUAAUAAGGAUUGUUACGAUAAUGCAAUACGACACUUUCACUCGGGCUUCCUCGUUCUCAUAAGCAAGGCCCGAGGCUUCGAAUCUACCCUCACGUAUGAUCGUCGAGGAGAGCCAGCAAUUUGGCAAUCGCGCUAUAUCGUAAAACAAACCGUACUCUCCUCGUACUUUGUACGUAUGUAUUUAUACGUACAUAGUCAAGAGCCUUAAAAAUAUACGCCAUCACCUUCGGCUAUCUGCAGCUCUGCGUUGCUGAAUGUAGAUUAUAGCCUUGACUAGAUUCUUCUUCGGUUGUGCGCGCAUUAAAUAUUGUGUCGCCGUUAACCGGAGCAGAUCUCGGAGUGUUCAUCCCACGAGGCCACCUAUCAAUUAUCUUCCUCUACAUCAUCCUGCAAGCCUCAAAGAAACGGUCAGAGAAUCUGAAUAUACGCGACAACAAUAUGGAUAUCUAUCGGAACGACGAUCUUACAACAUUAAUUACGUUGUUGGAGUGGGACUGCGCAGGUGUAUUGACAACGGGAGUUAUAGUUAUCUCCGUGCGAGCCUAAAAAGAGAGAAAUAUCCCGUGUUAGAUAUAUUUUACACUACUCAGAGAAAAUAAUGGAGUCUUGAAUCACGACGCACAUUGAUAUAAAUCGUAAAUAGAAAAUAAUAUACCGUGGAGGAAGACAGCAGCUCGCUUAUAGAACCCAGACUAGAUCCUUGGUAUGCCUGUAAAAGGUGUUGGGCGCCAGUCGCUUGCUGUGCCAUAGGUACUAUCGGUGUUGCCGCAGCUGUCGCUGCUGGAGAGUUCCUUUCUCUUUCAGGUGCGGUGAGCAAUUUAGCCAAAGUAAGCGGAAAGUUGUUUGGCCUGGAUGAUGUAUUGUUGGUCAGUAUUCCAUGGAGAAGCGAGCGUGAAGGCGUAUUAGUGUUCUCAGGCACGGAAGAUGUGUUAUGUCCUGACGGCACAGGUUGAAGUGUCACAUCCGGAUAAUUUUGCGAUGCUCUGGCUGGUUCACCUAAACACGAGAUUGCUUGUGAUACCGUGUUCUUAUGCGUGUAUGAAUUUAUGUCAAAUUCCCUCCGGUGAAUUUUAUGAUAAAUUAUAUAAAUUCCAUAAGAUUGUUACCUUGAUGUUGAGACAGCCUGUUGAGUUGGAAUACCAUGUCCCUAAAGUUCACGGGGUUUUGGCACUCUGUCGCAUUCGGACUCUUGCAGGAGUCUGCACUCGACGGUCUGGAAUCAGCAUUGUGUCCCAUCUCGACCAUGGCACCACCAGCGGUCAGAUUAACGUUCACCGAAUUCCUCGUUCUUCGCCCCCUACAUUAAUAUAAAAAUUUAUUAUUUUAAAAUAAAUUUUAAUUAUUAUAACUAUAAUUAUUUAUAAUACCAUGGGAUCGUUGGAUAUUUUUUUUAUCUAAUAACAAUUUGUAAAUUUUUUUUCGAGAAUCUCCAAAAUAUCAUUUAUCGUUUAGGCGAGAUUCGCCAUUACCUCUAAAUCAAUAGCAUUAUCAGCACAUAUACUCACUCAAACUUUACUGUUCGAUUUACAUAGACAUAUCUUGCCGAUUGCAGAUACGAGUGCAAUAACAGAUGGUUUAUUAUAUUAAUAGAUAAGAAAUUUACCGAUUAAUUGAUAAACGUACCUUUUCGGCGCCGGAUCGGGGAACAUCUUCCUAUGAUUGGCGAUGAUGGAAGUCACUUCUACUCUCGCACCUUGACGACCUUCGCCGAUCUGCCGGGACUCUGGACUCGACAUCUCAUUCUGCUUGCGGCUGUUCUCCCCGCCGUUUUUCGAAGAAGUCGUCUGCCGCUGCGAGGCAACAUUCGCAACGUUUUGUUUUUUAGGGAGCGACGCGUUUAGGGAGCUUUCUUCGGAAAGAUCACUUUUGAAUUCGAGAGACUUUUCUCUCGACGCGGUCUCGCUCGGUGCUUCGUCGCUGUUCAUCCAUCUCGCCUCCAAGCUGGUGGACGGCACGUGCUCCGGUGUAGUCUCGCUAUUCGUGAGUCUCAUCAUUUGCCUUCUUCUUUGGAGCCUCACGUACGCUUCCUCCGUCAGUUUUCGCUGGUGCAGGAUCUGAUUCCAUUCCUUCUCUUUUUUCCGUGCCAUUUCCUCGAGUUCCUGUCAACACACAUGGUAGGUUAAGGAUCGAUUAGCCAAGAUCAAAAGUAAGCAAGAUUUCGAGGAGAAAAUACUAACCUGCAUCUGCUUAAACAACUCAUUUUCUUUUUUUUCCAAAGCGUCAGCCGUAGUCUCAUCGCCGACAAGAGACUUGAUGGAACUUUCCCGUUCUUCCUGUGCACAGCAGGUUUUUUUCGGUUUAGAAGGACCAUUCGUAGGGUCCUGCUGCCCGUUCGGGGACUUUCGCUUCUUGCCGACGAUUUCGGCUGACUUUGAUCUGACAAGACGCGAACCGGCCUUCUGCUCCGAGGUACUCGCUAUCGGCGUGCUUGUAAUCGGAAGGCUCUUCUUAUUGGUCCUAAUGUUCUCAUGUACGUCCUUCUCAAUUUUUACACGUCCGUAAUCCAAUGCCGAUGGCGACGUAGCGGUCUCCUCGGGCAGAGCGGCACCAUUCUGUUGGCUUUGGGGUACCUUCGGCGACGUACUUGGCGCGUUCUCCGCCGCGUCCACAUUCUUCCCGUUUCCGCUGGCACCCUCCAUCGCGUGCAUCUUGUUCAGGCUGCAACACAAGUAAAGGAACGACUUGAUGUAUACUGUGGUAACACGAAAUCAACGCGCGUAACAAGCGUUCUUCUACGAAUGAACAACUGCGAUUAUAUUGAAACUUUGUUAAAUUAAACAUGACAACAAUUUGUAUAGAUGUGUGUGUGUAAAUAUUUAUACAAUACAUUGUGCGUAAAGCGUGA